This 23-nucleotide small nuclear RNA is filed under the name Arabidopsis thaliana (thale cress). RNAcentral's name for it is "snRNA_03674". The record is from RNAcentral. Lineage: Eukaryota; Viridiplantae; Streptophyta; Magnoliopsida; Brassicales; Brassicaceae.
GAUUGUUGAGAAGAUAGCUGCAG